RNA transcript from Asterias rubens (European starfish), 2992 nucleotides. It is a transcript of the gene named sphingomyelin phosphodiesterase 4-like, with no coding region annotated. The transcript has 10 exons. The record is from RefSeq and is a predicted model, not a curated record. Lineage: Eukaryota; Metazoa; Echinodermata; Asteroidea; Forcipulatida; Asteriidae.
UUCCUCCCGGAAGUUACCUAGACUGUGUGCACACAAAAUGACAGAUUGUCCAACAUAAUAAUAAUAAUAAUAUUAAUAAUAAUAACAAUUUCUGGAGGUUGGUGAGGUCCUGCUGGAGGGUAGUGACAUCGUCCUGGGAUCUGAUGGGCCGGUAUAAAAAACAUUCAUCUGCGAAAAGGCGAAUUCCAAUUGAAACAUAGUCCGUCAGGUCGUUUAUAAACACCAGAAGUAAGAGGGGAUCAAGCACAGUACCCUGCAAAACUCCUGAAGCUUCAUUGGAUAGGUUGCUGCUCUUCUUCAAGAAUGACUUGUUGGGUGCGACCUGUCAGAAAAUCCUGUAUCCAGGACAAGAGACAUUGUUGUUUCCUUCCUCCAAGAUUCUACUAUCCUUGGAGUACAUGGAGAUUUUCAGAAUCUGGAAGACUUUUGAACUACUACUAGGGCAGAAGAUUCAAUAGGAUCUUCACCAUACAAUGAAGUAACUUAAUGCAAUCCCGUUAUUACUCAAUCUGGCCAGUAGCUAUAAAGACCAUGCUUUGACAGAAACUCUGAUACAAAUGUUUCUGACAAUGAUUUGUAAAUCAUCUUGCUGUUGUUCUGUGGAUUUGUCUAUGUGAAAUGUUUGACAUCACUGAAGGAGCAAGUAUCAUCAAUCAUCAUUUUAAUAAUUUGUACUAAUUGGACAAGAGGACACUUUGGACCCAACUUCUCAUGUGACUACAUUGUAACAAGUGAGGACUAUAUGCGAUUCCACAGUUCAUCAAGAAAAAAUUGUACAUAUUUCUACGACAUGGAUUUGACAACUGGCCUCUAGAUUCAACCUUUAGUCAGCCGAGAGAAGUCUUUAUGAGGAUUAUGGUUCACCACAUCAUGGCCACUCAUGGCUUCAUAUGGAAGUAGUUUCCUGACCCCUAAGCCUAAUCCAUCUGUACCUGACUUGGGCUCCCAAGUAGCUGAGCUUGAGACCCCUGGAUUCAUGUAUACACUACUGUUCAGCAAUGAUGUCAAAGCUCUGAUUGAAAGAUUGGUACAGAAUGUUCACCAAGCUCAGAUCACAGUAUCCAACUUAAGUUGCACACCAGUCACCAAUGAUGGAGAGGGCUUCUUGUCUUGGUUUUCACAAAGUACCUUCAGUGACCCAACAUCUAGAGGUCAAAGGUCACAGGGUCAUCUUCAGCUGCAGGAUGAUAUUGGUCCAGUAGACGCCAACAAGUUGUGCAGAUACUUGGAAUAUACAAAGGAUUAUCUCUCCAAAGUGUUUCAGAUGAUGAAUAAACUACGAAAGUUUGAGAUCGCAUACCGAGGUGACCCAGAACUUCAGCCAAUCAGAAGCUUUGAAUGUUCGCAAGCUGUAUGCACUCUCAUCAAACUUCAACACUACGUUUGGUGAUAAAGUCUUUGAGGUGUAUCAUCGAGCAGAUUUCAGUGGAGCUUUAGCUAAGCAGAUCUUCACUGCACGUACAUCAAUCCCAACCCAUAGACAGACGGCCAUUCCAACGCCCCCAUACCGUGCCUCCCCUCAACAACAAACAUGCAAUCCAAGAUUGAGUCUUCGUUUUCUAGCUAAUUACUACACUCUAGCCUAUCUGGUACUGCUCUCGCUGAUUCUUUGGUCAUUUAUUGGCUUUGGACCUACUGGAAUAUUACUCACGCUAGUGUUCUUGACUGUGCUCUACAUCUUUUUCAGCGGGGUGGUGUACACAGUUAGACAACAUUCACACACACAUGAGCAUAUUGAAUAAUAUACAAGCACAUGGUGCAGCCAACAUGGAUUCAGUUCGGUUAUAAACCAUUAUAGACUUGACUCAUUGUUGUACCUAUAAUGACUACCAAGGAGAACCCAGUCAAAUGUCGGAUGGAUAAAGUGUGUAUUUACACCCAUGAAGGACUUGGUAAACUCUAGUUUGGAUUCAGUACUCUACUGGGUACAAUAUAUGUUUCACAAUUGUCAUCAUGGAGGACUUUGACAAAUUGAAUUAGUUGGCAAAACCUUAAAGUACAUUGUAAAUUGAUUUGUGGAAGACUUGGUCAACUUUAAUCAUAAAUUGCAGGGUUGAAACAAUACACCAGUAAAUGUUCACAUCUAAACAGGGUUGAAAUAAUAAGUUGCAAUGUUUUGCACUGCGUUUAAUUUCAACACUUUGCAUGGUAAUUGCAUGGUAAAAAGUUAUACUGGUAAAUAAAUACUCAGCUAAACAUAAAACCACACUAUGUCUCUUGGCAAUGAGGUUUUGAUUAAAAUACACUAGGAAAAGUUGUAUCAAAAAGAGUCAAGAUCUUUGUAUACAAAGUGCUGUCUUGCAACCAUUUCAGUAACAAACAUCAUUUUGUUAUGAGGUGUUCCAGAAAGUGCAACGAUGUACACACAAACCGAGGUAUACACAUGCAAGUCACUCAAUACUGACACGCAAACUAAGAAUGAAAAUUGUUACAACACUUUUAACAAUAAACAAGUUUUGUUCUCAGUGUAUUGAAAGUUUUGAUGUUAAUCAAUCCAUGAAGUCUAGGCUAUCUGAGGAUUAAAGUACAACUUUUUGUUUAACAUGUACAUCCAUGAAGAUCGUAUCUCAAAAGUAUGCCAUCUCAAUGUUGCAACUGUCCAUUACAGUUCAAAAUUAUACAUAAAGAUAUUGGAACACACUUCUAGUGUGAUAAGUCAAUUGAAACACUAUUUCAAACAAGUAUUACCCUGUCUCUCAGUUGUUUAAUGAUUUAUUUCAAACUUUUAUCUGUGGCAUCCAUCAAGUUAGCCGUCAUAUAAACCACAAAGUAUAUGUCAUGUAACAAUGAUAGGGUGUAUUGAAAUGCACAAUGAUGCAAUUAUUUUAGAAUAACAAAAUAAACUUGUAAAUUAUACCAGGUGUUGUAAUUAAUCUUCAAUUACAUUUUAUCUCCUGAAAGUAUGUUUGAAAGGGAAACAUUUCACAAAGUGCCAUCUUGCAACUCUUUUAAGGGAAAAUAAACUUUGUAAUAAAAUAUCUCAGAAACUGUG